GAUGAACGCUGGCGGCGUGCCUAAUACAUGCAAGUCGAGCGAACAGACGCGGAUCUUGCUCCUCUCAUGUCUGCGGCGGACGUGUGUGUAACACGUGGAUCCCCCCCCUAUAUGUCUGGGAUAACUUCGGGACACCGGAGCUAAUCCCGUAUAACAUCUUGAACCGUAUGGUUCAACAGUGAAUGACGGCCUUGCUGUCACUUCUAGAUGCAUCCGGGCGGCAUUGGCUAGUUGGUAAGGUAACGGCUUACCAAGGCUACGAUGCGUAGCCGACCUGAGAGGGUGAUCGGCCACACUGGAGGUGGGACACGGUCAAGACUCCUGAGGGAGGCAGCAGUAGGGUAUCGUCGGCAGUGGGCGAGAGCAUGACGGAGCAAGGCCAAGUGAGUGAAGAAGGUGUUGGGAUCGUAAAAAUCUGUUAUGAGGGAAAAACAGAUGUGUAAGUAACUGUGGACGUCGUGACGGUACCUAGUCAGAAAGCCACGGCUAACUACGUG
RNAcentral lists this ribosomal RNA (497 nucleotides) under uncultured bacterium. RNAcentral's name for it is "partial 16S ribosomal RNA". It matches the Rfam family "Bacterial small subunit ribosomal RNA", at positions 28 to 507 of the family's 1533-position model. The record is from RNAcentral.